UCGGGAUGAGGUUAUGAAGGUAGAAAGAUAACAUGGAUAAAAUGAAAAAGAAAAUGUAAGACUAUCGAUGAUGGUGGUUUAGGAGUAAAGGAAAUGAGAUGUUUUAACAUGACACUCUUAGACAAGUGAAGAUGGAGGCUAGAAAAGAAAAAAGAGGUUUGAGGAGAGAUAUUUUAGCUUCAAAAUAAAGGUCAGGGAGAGCUUUAAACAAUGUAAGGAUAAUAAUUUUGACUCGCAGUGGUGGAGGGAUCUUAGGAAAGCAUGCGAAAAUGGAUAAGGAAAAAUCUACACACAAGAAGUUACAAAAUGUUAUAAGAGUGGAUGAUGAGGUUUUGUAUGAAAAACUCUAGAAAACAAAAACUUUAACUAACCUAGUUUUUUUUUUCUUGAAGACUUUGUUUAAAAUAAGUUAUCGACACAUGAUAACUUAUAUAAAAAGGGAAUCCAACUAGGUAGUAUUAGAUGUGUUAUGUAUGAAACUUGUAAUGAAUAA
This 493-nucleotide long non-coding RNA is filed under the name Vigna radiata. Its description in RNAcentral is "long non-coding RNA (VRAD_LNC011272)". Lineage: Eukaryota; Viridiplantae; Streptophyta; Magnoliopsida; Fabales; Fabaceae. The record is from RNAcentral.